CUCCUGGUAACAGCCAAUGACACGCAAGUGCUCUCACUGUCUCUCAAUGUUUAAGCUAAACCUGCACACUGCGCUCGACGGUUUUACACCGGAUCUGGGUUUUGCACACUUUAGUCGUCUUUCAAAAAACUGUGCAGUGUGAAUGAGAACGCUAGAAAUAGAAACCGAAAGAAAGCGAGUCAAGAUUCAAAAGAAACUGUUGUCAUCGCCGCUCGCGCUUCAUAUUACGCAGAAAUGCUCCUCUUUGCAACCUGUCGUCUUUCAAAAAACUGUGCAGUGUGAAUGAGAACGCUAGAAAUAGAAACCGAAAGAAAGCGAGUCAAGAUUCAAAACAAACUGUUGUCAUCGCCGCUCGCGCUUCAUAUUACGCAGAAAUGCUCCUCUUUGCAACCGUCGCGUUUCUUGUAGAUUUAUCCUGGGCUCUUCCAACGGACAUUAUUAUUCAAUUCGAGCGCAGUGUUUUGCCAAACGGGACAGUCGUGGAGAGGAUCCUUGUCAGUGAUGCAAAUUUAAAGGGACAGUUCGACAAGCAACCUGUUGUCAGACCCAUUCAAGAUGAAGUCCUGAAGAUGAUGGUGGAGAAUGACAAUGAAACAGCAAGCUAUGGCACAUAUAUACGUUUGAGGGAAUGUAAGCUGCGAGGAUAUCGAGUCCUGCAGCUGUCCGACCGGUUUCAGCUCAGUGGCAAAGAUUAUCUGACUUUAGAUUCAGACAGUGAUUCAUGGACAGUGUUGAUGCCGGAGGCGCAUGAUCUAAAGCAGUCAUGGACACUUAAGGCCGAGCAUGCGAGUCUAGAGAAAAUUCACCUGAAAGAAGAAUGUGAGGAAUUAAUUAAACAGAUAAAUGAUGCCCAGAAUCAAGAAGGGCUUGGUGUGUUAAGAGUGAUGGCUCCAGUUCUCACCACUUUUCUCUUCAUCGGAUUUGUCUUUAUGAGCCUCCUUAUCUUCAAGCGACACGGUCAUCAGCCAGGAGGUGUUUUAGGCUCAAUUAUCCACUAUCCAGCCCAUCAUCUUGAAGUACCAUUGAACGAACAGAGUCAAAAGGACAUCUCUCAAGUUCCAAUGCUGAAGGCAUAGCAAUCACCUAACCUGCCCAACCACAUUAUUGUGAAGAGUCAACUCUUUGUCAUGAUUUCAGAAGUCUUAGACUGAUUUGAAAGUUCAGUAAUAAAAUUGUUCCGAU
RNAcentral lists this long non-coding RNA (1182 nucleotides) under Sinocyclocheilus anshuiensis. RNAcentral describes it as "lncRNA (ENSSANG00000044037.1)". The record is from RNAcentral. Lineage: Eukaryota; Metazoa; Chordata; Actinopteri; Cypriniformes; Cyprinidae.